RNAcentral lists this ribosomal RNA (474 nucleotides) under uncultured bacterium. RNAcentral describes it as "bacterial SSU rRNA". It matches the Rfam family "Bacterial small subunit ribosomal RNA", at positions 328 to 793 of the family's 1533-position model. The record is from RNAcentral.
CUCUGUGACUCCUACGGGAGGCAGCAGUGGGAAUAUUGCACAAUGGGGGAAACCCUGAUGCAGCCAUGCCGCGUGUGUGAAGAAGGCCUUCGGGUUGUAAAGCACUUUCAGUAGGGAGGAAGGUAGUGUAGUUAACACCUGCAUUAUUUGACGUUACCUACAGAAGAAGCACCGGCUAACUCCGUGCCAGCAGCCGCGGUAAUACGGAGGGUGCGAGCGUUAAUCGGAAUUACUGGGCGUAAAGCGCAUGCAGGCGGCCUGUUAAGUCAGAUGUGAAAGCCCGGGGCUUAACCUCGGAAUUGCAUUUGAAACUGGCAGGCUAGAGUCUUGUAGAGGGGGUAGGAAUUUCAGGUGUAGCGGUGAAAUGCGUAGAGAUCUGAAGGAAUACCAGUGGCGAAGGCGGCCCCCUCGGACAAAGAACUGACGCUCAGAUGCGAAAGCGUGGGGAGCAAACAGGAUUAGAUACCCUGGUAG